AGAGUUUGAUCCUGGCCCAGGACGAACGCUGGCGGUAUGCUUAACACAUGCAAGUCGAACGAGAAGAUCAGUUAAGAACCUUCGGGGGAAUAAGUGAUUGGAAAGUGGCGAACGGGUGAGUAACGCGUGGGUAACCUGCCCUAUGGAAAGGAAUAGCCUCGGGAAACUGGGAGUAAAGCCUUAUAUUAUGGAGAGAUCGCAUGGUCAUUUCAUGAAAACUCCGGUGCCAUAGGAUGGACCCGCGUCCCAUUAGCUAGUUGGUGAGAUAACAGCCCACCAAGGCGACGAUGGGUAACCGGUCUGAGAGGGCGAACGGUCACACUGGAACUGAGACACGGUCCAGACUCCUACGGGAGGCAGCAGUGGGGAAUAUUGCGCAAUGGGGGCAACCCUGACGCAGCAAUACCGCGUGAGUGAAGAAGGUUUUCGGAUCGUAAAGCUCUGUUAUUGGGGAAGAAAACAUGACGGUACCCAAUGAGGAAGUCCCGGCUAACUACGUGCCAGCAGCCGCGGUAAUACGUAGGGGACAAGCGUUGUCCGGAAUGACUGGGCGUAAAGGGCGCGUAGGCGGUCUGAUAAGUCAGAUGUGAAAGGUACCGGCUCAACCGGUGACGUGCAUUUGAAACUGUCAGACUUGAGUAUUGGAGAGGCAAGUGGAAUUCCUAGUGUAGCGGUGAAAUGCGUAGAUAUUAGGAGGAACACCAGUGGCGANNNGGCUUGCUGGACAAAUACUGACGCUGAGGUGCGAAAGCGUGGGGAGCGAACAGGAUUAGAUACCCUGGNAGUCCACGCCAUAAACGAUGAAUGCUAGGUGUUGGGGAAACUCAGUGCCGCANUUNACACANUAAGCAUUCCNCCNGGGAGUACGACCGCAGGUUGAAACUCAAAGGAAUUUGACGGGGACCCGCACAGCACGGAAGCAUGGUGGUUAAUUCAAAGCACGCGAGACCUUACCAGGUCUUGACUCCUCUGACAUCCAGAGAUGG
RNAcentral lists this ribosomal RNA (986 nucleotides) under uncultured bacterium. Its description in RNAcentral is "bacterial SSU rRNA". It matches the Rfam family "Bacterial small subunit ribosomal RNA", at positions 8 to 1009 of the family's 1533-position model. The record is from RNAcentral.